RNAcentral lists this ribosomal RNA (170 nucleotides) under Hemiphractus scutatus (Spix's horned treefrog). RNAcentral describes it as "16S ribosomal RNA". Lineage: Eukaryota; Metazoa; Chordata; Amphibia; Anura; Hemiphractidae. The record is from RNAcentral.
ACGUGAUCUGAGUUCAGACCGGAGYAAUCCAGGUCAGUUUCUAUCURUAAGAYGUUUCUUCUAGUACGAAAGGACCAAAGAAACAUGGCCAAUGUAUCACACAAGCCAUCUUUAUUAAAUUAUGACAACUUAAUUAUUCCCAAACCCCCAUUUUACCCAAGAAAAGGAUA